RNAcentral lists this ribosomal RNA (188 nucleotides) under uncultured rumen bacterium. RNAcentral describes it as "partial 16S ribosomal RNA". It matches the Rfam family "Bacterial small subunit ribosomal RNA", at positions 340 to 524 of the family's 1533-position model. The record is from RNAcentral.
UACGGGAGGCAGCAGUGAGGAAUAUUGGUCAAUGGCCGAGAGGCUGAACCAGCCAUGCCGCGUGCGGGAGGACGGCCCUAUGGGUUGUAAACCGCUUUUGUUGGGGAGCAAUAAGGGUCACGUGUGGCCCGAUGAGAGUACCCAGCGAAUAAGCAUCGGCUAACUCCGUUGCCAGCAGCCGCGGUAAU